This is a non-coding RNA of Paramuricea clavata, 354 nucleotides long. Lineage: Eukaryota; Metazoa; Cnidaria; Anthozoa; Malacalcyonacea; Plexauridae. The record is from the annotation of a GenBank genome assembly.
CAUUUUUAAACUAUUCAAAUGAUGAAAGUUGUUGUUUUUAAGCGUUUAUUAGCAAGUGGGAACGACCAACAUGGCCGCCAUCUAUUCAAAUGGGGAUAACCGCUGAAAUAUUCUUGGCUUCAAUUUUACUAAAAUAGAUGCGCUAUCUAGUGUAUAUAAGAUAUCUAUGCCUAUUACCUACUGAACAAAAUUUUGUUCUAGACAAGUCUGGACAAAAAUUUCAUCACUGAUGAGCUUGAAAGAGCAUCACAAAAUUACUAAUACUCCGAAGUUUCGUUGCGAAAUGUUGUAAAAUGCGGAUAAUAUAGCCCUGCGAGGUUUACCGUUUUUCAGUCAUUUUGUAUUACGCACGGG